CAAGUUCUUCCUCUAAUUUUUAUAUCAGUUGUCAAUUUUCUAUUGUUUGCUUUUUAUUUAAUUUUCUUCUUUUCUAUAGCCCUAGGCUUGUUUCGAGUUGCAUUGGUUUUGAGUACAACUCGAAACCGAAACCGACUUGAUCGGUUUGGGUAAAUUCCAAUCCGAACCGACCCAAUACAACGUUGAAACAAAACCAAACCAAAUCAAAUUAAUUUGGGACGGUUUGGUUUGGUUAGCGAUUUGGACAUAAUGUAAAACGAAAGAAAAAAGAAUAUGAGAAGUACAUGACUUGUUUCAUUGUGCAAUAGGCAUCUUGAAGCGACAAAUAGGACAACAGUGACUUCUCUUUAACCAUUUCGAAAUGCAAAAGCUAUGAAAAAUAUGAGAACAUGGAAGGGUUGAUACCACGGACCCUGUCCCUAUGUCUUCCAAGCACACCAUACAACUCUCUACCCCGUUGCUUUUGUUCUUGAAACGAAUCUCCUUCGGCAGAGAUAUGAUCGCUUCCAUGCUCGCAGGUAUCAUGUUCGGACCAUUAAUCGACCCCAACGAAGUUUCAUCCAGACGGUGUUUAACAAACUGCGUCAUAUAAAUAUCUAACAUUUUUUUCUCAUCUGCAGAAGCUAGGAUGUCGUGUCCAUAGCUAAUUAAAAUUUUCACAAUUUCUUCUUUAAAAUAAUGAUCAGAUCCACAAUCUGGAAGUUUUGACAACAGAUUUUGUUUCAAAUCAUCAUGGAUCCCCCCAAAAUCGACCCAAGUAAAUCGUGACCUCAAUGGUCUUACAUUUUCCAUUAAAACUUCGUCAUUGUAAUUCACCCAUUGUUCGAUGGUUUGAACAUUUAAUUUCAGGAGAACACACAUUGUUGAAUGAGGGUUGAUACCCACUGGUUCUGUAAUCGGUCGUUCAUCUAUGGAUGCCGACCAACAGGUCGACACGGGGAGUGUUCUAUUUAUUUCCGAACCCAUCAAUAUUUAGAGAAAAGCUCGAGUGCACGCAAUCUAGAGAGAGAUUAUUUCUGGGAAUACUAUGUAUU
This 1034-nucleotide long non-coding RNA is filed under the name Olea europaea subsp. europaea. Lineage: Eukaryota; Viridiplantae; Streptophyta; Magnoliopsida; Lamiales; Oleaceae. The record is from RNAcentral.